RNAcentral lists this ribosomal RNA (500 nucleotides) under uncultured bacterium. Its description in RNAcentral is "partial 16S ribosomal RNA". It matches the Rfam family "Bacterial small subunit ribosomal RNA", at positions 30 to 523 of the family's 1533-position model. The record is from RNAcentral.
AUUGAACGCUGGCGGAAUGCUUUACACAUGCAAGUCGAACGGCAGCACGGACUUCGGUCUGGUGGCGAGUGGCGAACGGGUGAGUAACAUAUCGGAACGUAUCCAAUAAUGGGGGAUAACGAGUCGAAAGAUUCGCUAAUACCGCAUACGCCCUACGGGGGAAAGCUGGGGACCUUCGGGCCUGGCGUUAAUGGAGCGGCCGAUAUCUGAUUAGCUAGUUGGUGAGGUAAAGGCUCACCAAGGCGACGAUCAGUAGCUGGUCUGAGAGGUCGACCAGCCACACUGGAACUGAGACACGGUCCAGACUCCUACGGGAGGCAGCAGUGAGGAAUUUUGGACAAUGGGCGCAAGCCUGAUCCAGCCAUUCCGCGUGAGUGAAGAAGGCCUUCGGGUUGUAAAGCUCUUUCGCAAGGGAAGAAAACUUAGCCACUAACAUUGGUUGAGGUUGACGGUACCUUGAUAAGAAGCACCGGCUAACUACGCGCCAGCAGCCGCGGUAA